Molecule: ribosomal RNA, 669 nt
Filed under: Culicoides pseudopallidipennis
Lineage: Eukaryota; Metazoa; Arthropoda; Insecta; Diptera; Ceratopogonidae
Description: eukaryotic LSU rRNA
Source: RNAcentral
GGGAAUUCUGAUGUGUAUGUACUACCUAUCUGAUGAGGAAAUUCAGCAUUAUUGCGUCAGAUGAUGGCGUAAUGGUGUGCACUUUUCUUCUAGUAAGACGUUGCGAUCCAUUAGAAAAGUUUUAUGAACUCUGUAUAUGCGCCCGGAUAAGAUUUUAUACUUUUAGCGAGUAACGUGGCUUUGUUGUUAUGUGAGUGCGUGUAAACUAUGUGGUGCUCUUACAUAUGUCAGAUGGUAUUAAGACUAAGUGUCACAUACUCUCUCGUGGAGUGAUAUCUCUCGUGGAUAAGAUGUGUACUUUAUCCGCAACUUUUUAUAUUUAAGAUCCCCUCGAGACCCCUCGUGAAACACAGCCCAAAAUCUCUAUCGUGUAUGCGACUCUGUGAUAUUAUUAACACCUAUACGAGAUGUGAGUUUAUCGUGUUAGUGAUAUUACGAGUGAUUUUAUGUGCACUAUUUUUCUAUCCCCGGAUAUCUAAGUGUAAAUACGUGCUCUACAAAUAUAUACCGUGCGCAUACGCUCUGAGACCCAAGAUAUGGAGAUCUAUGCGAGAUCGUGUUGGUCUCGGGGGACCUGAGAUGGGAGAGUGUAGCAAUCAGACGUGCACUCGAUGUCAGAUGUGUAUAUAGGGCAAAGACUCUCGCAUAUCUAUAUUGUCUUCCCUCAGA